GGACUACCAGGGUAUCUAAUCCUGUUCGCUCCCCACGCUUUCGCGUCUCAGCGUCAGUACCGUACUAGAGAGCCGCCUUAGCCACGGGUGUUCUUCCCGAUAUCUGCGCAUUUCACCGCUACACCGGGAAUUCCACUCUCCUCUUCCGGACUCUAGCCAUACGGUUUCCACCGACAGCUCGAGGUUGAGCCUCGAGUUUUCACAGCAGACCUGUAUGGCCGCCUACACGCUCUUUACGCCCAAUAAAUCCGGACAACGCUUGCCCCCUACGUAUUACCGCGGCGGCUGGCAC
Molecule: ribosomal RNA, 292 nt
Filed under: uncultured bacterium
Lineage: Bacteria
Description: partial 16S ribosomal RNA
Source: RNAcentral